AUGCUUUUUUGGGACCAGGGUGUUACCCCUCGCUUCCGCCUGCUGCAUUCCCUGUUCGCUGAGGCCUUGCAGCGGGUCAUUCCUCCAAAUAUCACACUGUAUCCUCUCUGGGAGGAACUGGAGGUAGGAUCGAAGGUGGGAAUCCUCUGCAUCCUGAGUGGGUUCUACCCUGACAGGCUGAGUGUGGAGUGGCUGCUGGAUGACAAGACUGUGACCACAUCUCCAGUCCAGCGGAAGCUGCAGAGUGUAGAAGGUGAGGAGAACACAUUCAGCCUGAACAGCCAGCUGGAGCUGGACCGGAGCCAAUGGACUCAAGGGUCAGAGGUCACAUGCAAGGCCAUCCACAAUGCAGCACAAGGACCACCUACAGGAACACCAGUCUCCAGGACCACCAGUAUUUGCUCAGCUUUUCCCUCGUCUACUCCAUCCAUCCACCUGGAGACCCCCAGAUUCAGGACAGUGAUGACACAGACUGAGGUAACAGCUACAUGUGUGGUCCACUCUGCGUAUGACGCCAAAGUGUCCUGGCUUCUGGAUGGAAAACACCCAACCAGUAGGACCCCAGUGAACCAGGCCAGCAGGACAACUCAGAGCAUCAGCAGUAACCUGACUCUUCCCUCAAGCCAAUGGAAAACCCUGAACACAAUAACAUGCAGAGCUGAACAUCGCUGCUUCAACUCCACAGAGAAGACGAGUAAUGUUAAAGGUUAGAAUGGAACUUUGUGAUCAUAUUUGUAUUUUACAGGCUCUAACAAACAGUGCAACAAAAUGUA
Molecule: non-coding RNA, 773 nt
Organism: Oncorhynchus masou masou (cherry salmon)
Lineage: Eukaryota; Metazoa; Chordata; Actinopteri; Salmoniformes; Salmonidae
Source: the annotation of a RefSeq genome assembly